Molecule: long non-coding RNA, 318 nt
Organism: Canis lupus familiaris (dog)
Lineage: Eukaryota; Metazoa; Chordata; Mammalia; Carnivora; Canidae
Exons: 3
Source: RefSeq, a predicted model, not a curated record
GCCAAAGGCAGGCGCCAAACUGCUGAGCCACCCAGGGAUCCCCUCUGUUGCUAUUUCAUAGGGCUUUUAAGAAAGAAAAACUCCUACCUGGACAUCAGGGAAGGAAAACCAAGCAAGAAAGGAGUAUGUUAUAAAUUCCUGGGCUGGAUUUCAGCCAGCUGUUCGCUCUCUUCAGUCCUCAUUCCUUGCCUCUCCUGGCCCAGUCUCCAGAGAACAUCAACUGCAAGCCACAUGCUCACCAAGAUCAUCAUAAAAACAUUUGCAAACAGGGGCACCUGGCUGACUCGAUUGGUAGAGCAUGGGACUCCUGAUCUAGAG